AAUUCGAUUCUACGGGAGGCAGCAGUAGGGAAUCUUCGGCAAUGGACGAAAGUCUGACCGAGCAACGCCGCGUGAGUGAAGAAGGUUUUCGGAUCGUAAAACUCUGUUGUUAGAGAAGAACAAGGACGUUAGUAACUGAACGUCCCCUGACGGUAUCUAACCAGAAAGCCACGGCUAACUACGUGCCAGCAGCCGCGGUAAU
RNAcentral lists this ribosomal RNA (202 nucleotides) under uncultured Enterococcus sp. RNAcentral describes it as "partial 16S ribosomal RNA". It matches the Rfam family "Bacterial small subunit ribosomal RNA", at positions 329 to 524 of the family's 1533-position model. The record is from RNAcentral. Lineage: Bacteria; Bacillati; Bacillota; Bacilli; Lactobacillales; Enterococcaceae.